This 490-nucleotide ribosomal RNA is filed under the name uncultured bacterium. Its description in RNAcentral is "bacterial SSU rRNA". It matches the Rfam family "Bacterial small subunit ribosomal RNA", at positions 32 to 498 of the family's 1533-position model. The record is from RNAcentral.
AAUCAACGCUGGCGGCGUGCCUAACACAUGCAAGUCGAACGAGAAAGUGACUUCGGUCACUGGAUAGUGGCGUCCGGGUGAGUAACACGUGGGUAAUCUACCCUCGGGUGGGGAAUAACGUCUCGAAAGAGACGCUAAUACCGCAUAAUGCAGCGGCACCUAAUGGUGAAUAGUUGUUAAAGCGGGGGAUCGCAAGACCUCGCGCCUGAAGAGGAGCCUGCGGCAGAUUAGCUAGUUGGUGAGGUAAUGGCUCACCAAGGCUUCGAUCUGUAGCUGGUCUGAGAGGACGGCCAGCCACACUGGCACUGACACACGGGCCAGACUCCUACGGGAGGCAGCAGUGGGGAAUUUUGGGCAAUGGACGAAAGUCUGACCCAGCAACGCCGCGUGAGGGAGGAAAUCCUUCGGGAUGUAAACCUCGCAAGCAAGGGAAGAAUGCUUGAGACCUAACACGUCUCAAGAGGGACGGUACCUUGCGUAAGCCACGGCU